This 488-nucleotide ribosomal RNA is filed under the name uncultured bacterium. RNAcentral describes it as "bacterial SSU rRNA". It matches the Rfam family "Bacterial small subunit ribosomal RNA", at positions 29 to 524 of the family's 1533-position model. The record is from RNAcentral.
AACGAACGCUGGCGGCGCGCCUAAUACAUGCAAGUCGAGCGAGAAGGUGUAGCAAUACACUUGUAAAGCGGCGAACGGGUGAGGAAUACAUGGGUAAUCUACCAUCGAGUGGGGAAUAACCAACCGAAAGGUUGGCUAAUACCGCGUACGCCUCCGAGUCUUCGGGUUCGGAGGGAAAGCUGCACUGUGAGUGUAGCGCUCUUUGAUGAGCUCAUGUCCUAUCAGCUUGUUGGUAGGGUAACGGCCUACCAAGGCUUUGAUCGGUAGCUGGUCUGAGAGGACGAUCAGCCACACUGGCACUGACACACGGGCCAGACUCCUACGGGAGGCAGCAGUGAGGAAUAUUGGGCAAUGGGCGAAAGCCUGACCCAGCAACGCCGCGUGAGGGAUGAAGGCCUUCGGGUUGUAAACCUCUUUCUGGGAGAAGAGACAAGGACGGUAUCCCAGGAAUAAGUCUCGGCUAACUACGUGCCAGCAGCCGCGGUAAU